CGGACGGGUGAGUAAUGUAUGGGGAUCUGCCUGAUGGCGGGGGAUAACUACUGGAAACGGUAGCUAAUACCGCAUAAUGUCUACGGACCAAAGCGGGGGACCUCCGGGCCUCGCGCCAUCAGAUGAACCCAUAUGGGAUUAGCUAGUAGGUAAGGUAACGGCUUACCUAGGCGGCGAUCCCUAGCUGGUCUGAGAGGAUGAUCAGCCACACUGGGACUGAGACACGGCCCAG
This 232-nucleotide ribosomal RNA is filed under the name uncultured bacterium. Its description in RNAcentral is "partial 16S ribosomal RNA". It matches the Rfam family "Bacterial small subunit ribosomal RNA", at positions 99 to 334 of the family's 1533-position model. The record is from RNAcentral.